RNAcentral lists this ribosomal RNA (496 nucleotides) under uncultured bacterium. RNAcentral describes it as "partial 16S ribosomal RNA". It matches the Rfam family "Bacterial small subunit ribosomal RNA", at positions 28 to 507 of the family's 1533-position model. The record is from RNAcentral.
GACGAACGCUGGCGGCGUGCCUAAUACAUGCAAGUUGAGCGCUGAAGGUUGGUACUUGUACCGACUGGAUGAGCAGCGAACGGGUGAGUAACGCGUGGGGAAUCUGCCUUUGAGCGGGGGACAACAUUUGGAAACGAAUGCUAAUACCGCAUAAAAACUUUAAACACAAGUUUUAAGUUUGAAAGAUGCAAUUGCAUCACUCAAAGAUGAUCCCGCGUUGUAUUAGCUAGUUGGUGAGGUAAAGGCUCACCAAGGCGAUGAUACAUAGCCGACCUGAGAGGGUGAUCGGCAACAUUGGAACUGAGACACGGCCCAACUCCUACGGGAGGCAGCAGUAGGGAAUCUUCGGCAAUGGACGAAAGUCUGACCGAGCAACGCCGCGUGAGGGAAGAAGGGUUUCGGAUCGUAAAACUCUGUUGGUAGAGAAGAACGUUGGUGAGAGUGGAAAGCUCAUCAAGUGACGGUAACUACCCAGAAAGGGACGGCUAACUACGUG